Molecule: non-coding RNA, 97 nt
Organism: Acidihalobacter prosperus
Lineage: Bacteria; Pseudomonadati; Pseudomonadota; Gammaproteobacteria; Chromatiales; Ectothiorhodospiraceae
Rfam family: Bacterial small signal recognition particle RNA
About the family: The signal recognition particle (SRP) is a universally conserved ribonucleoprotein involved in the co-translational targeting of proteins to membranes. Archaeal SRP consists of a 7S RNA and homologues of the eukaryotic SRP19 and SRP54 proteins. In most bacteria, the SRP consists of a 4.5S RNA and the Ffh protein (a homologue of the eukaryotic SRP54 protein).
Source: Rfam
GCAUCGGCCCCUCGCAACGAUAAACUGUAAACCCCGCCAGGCCCGGAAGGGAGCAACGGUAGCAGUGAUCUCGUGUGCCGGGGUGUGCUGGUGCGGG